UACGGAGGGUGCGAGCGUUGUCCGGAAUCACUGGGCGUAAAGGGCGCGUAGGCGGUCCGGUAAGCGCGUGGUGAAAGCCCGGGGCUCAACCCCGGGUCGGCCGUGCGGACUGCGGGACUGGAGCACUGUAGAGGCAGGCGGAAUUCCGGGGUGUAGCGGUGGAAUGCGUAGAGAUCCGGAAGAACACCGGUGGCGAAGGCAGCCUUCUGGGCCAACACUGACGCUCAUGCACGAAAGCGUGGGGAGCAAACAGG
Molecule: ribosomal RNA, 254 nt
Filed under: uncultured bacterium
Lineage: Bacteria
Description: partial 16S ribosomal RNA
Rfam family: Bacterial small subunit ribosomal RNA
Source: RNAcentral